Molecule: ribosomal RNA, 2929 nt
Filed under: Escherichia coli
Lineage: Bacteria; Pseudomonadati; Pseudomonadota; Gammaproteobacteria; Enterobacterales; Enterobacteriaceae
Description: bacterial LSU rRNA
Rfam family: Bacterial large subunit ribosomal RNA
Source: RNAcentral
GGGUUGUGAGGUUAAGCGACUAAGCGUACACGGUGGAUGCCCUGGCAGUCAGAGGCGAUGAAGGACGUGCUAAUCUGCGAUAAGCGUCGGUAAGGUGAUAUGAACCGUUAUAACCGGCGAUUUCCGAAUGGGGAAACCCAGUGUGUUUCGACACACUAUCAUUAACUGAAUCCAUAGGUUAAUGAGGCGAACCGGGGGAACUGAAACAUCUAAGUACCCCGAGGAAAAGAAAUCAACCGAGAUUCCCCCAGUAGCGGCGAGCGAACGGGGAGCAGCCCAGAGCCUGAAUCAGUGUGUGUGUUAGUGGAAGCGUCUGGAAAGGCGCGCGAUACAGGGUGACAGCCCCGUACACAAAAAUGCACAUACUGUGAGCUCGAUGAGUAGGGCGGGACACGUGGUAUCCUGUCUGAAUAUGGGGGACCAUCCUCCAAGGCUAAAUACUCCUGACUGACCGAUAGUGAACCAGUACCGUGAGGGAAAGGCGAAAAGAACCCCGGCGAGGGGAGUGAAAAAGAACCUGAAACCGUGUACGUACAAGCAGUGGGAGCCUCUUUUAUGGGGUGACUGCGUACCUUUUGUAUAAUGGGUCAGCGACUUAUAUUCUGUAGCAAGGUUAACCGAAUAGGGGAGCCGAAGGGAAACCGAGUCUUAACCGGGCGUUAAGUUGCAGGGUAUAGACCCGAAACCCGGUGAUCUAGCCAUGGGCAGGUUGAAGGUUGGGUAACACUAACUGGAGGACCGAACCGACUAAUGUUGAAAAAUUAGCGGAUGACUUGUGGCUGGGGGUGAAAGGCCAAUCAAACCGGGAGAUAGCUGGUUCUCCCCGAAAGCUAUUUAGGUAGCGCCUCGUGAAUUCAUCUCCGGGGGUAGAGCACUGUUUCGGCAAGGGGGUCAUCCCGACUUACCAACCCGAUGCAAACUGCGAAUACCGGAGAAUGUUAUCACGGGAGACACACGGCGGGUGCUAACGUCCGUCGUGAAGAGGGAAACAACCCAGACCGCCAGCUAAGGUCCCAAAGUCAUGGUUAAGUGGGAAACGAUGUGGGAAGGCCCAGACAGCCAGGAUGUUGGCUUAGAAGCAGCCAUCAUUUAAAGAAAGCGUAAUAGCUCACUGGUCGAGUCGGCCUGCGCGGAAGAUGUAACGGGGCUAAACCAUGCACCGAAGCUGCGGCAGCGACACUGUGUGUUGUUGGGUAGGGGAGCGUUCUGUAAGCCUGUGAAGGUGUACUGUAAGGUAUGCUGGAGGUAUCAGAAGUGCGAAUGCUGACAUAAGUAACGAUAAAGCGGGUGAAAAGCCCGCUCGCCGGAAGACCAAGGGUUCCUGUCCAACGUUAAUCGGGGCAGGGUGAGUCGACCCCUAAGGCGAGGCCGAAAGGCGUAGUCGAUGGGAAACAGGUUAAUAUUCCUGUACUUGGUGUUACUGCGAAGGGGGGACGGAGAAGGCUAUGUUGGCCGGGCGACGGUUGUCCCGGUUUAAGCGUGUAGGCUGGUUUUCCAGGCAAAUCCGGAAAAUCAAGGCUGAGGCGUGAUGACGAGGCACUACGGUGCUGAAGCAACAAAUGCCCUGCUUCCAGGAAAAGCCUCUAAGCAUCAGGUAACAUCAAAUCGUACCCCAAACCGACACAGGUGGUCAGGUAGAGAAUACCAAGGCGCUUGAGAGAACUCGGGUGAAGGAACUAGGCAAAAUGGUGCCGUAACUUCGGGAGAAGGCACGCUGAUAUGUAGGUGAAGUCCCUCGCGGAUGGAGCUGAAAUCAGUCGAAGAUACCAGCUGGCUGCAACUGUUUAUUAAAAACACAGCACUGUGCAAACACGAAAGUGGACGUAUACGGUGUGACGCCUGCCCGGUGCCGGAAGGUUAAUUGAUGGGGUCAGCGCAAGCGAAGCUCUUGAUCGAAGCCCCGGUAAACGGCGGCCGUAACUAUAACGGUCCUAAGGUAGCGAAAUUCCUUGUCGGGUAAGUUCCGACCUGCACGAAUGGCGUAAUGAUGGCCAGGCUGUCUCCACCCGAGACUCAGUGAAAUUGAACUCGCUGUGAAGAUGCAGUGUACCCGCGGCAAGACGGAAAGACCCCGUGAACCUUUACUAUAGCUUGACACUGAACAUUGAGCCUUGAUGUGUAGGAUAGGUGGGAGGCUUUGAAGUGUGGACGCCAGUCUGCAUGGAGCCGACCUUGAAAUACCACCCUUUAAUGUUUGAUGUUCUAACGUGGACCCGUGAUCCGGGUUGCGGACAGUGUCUGGUGGGUAGUUUGACUGGGGCGGUCUCCUCCUAAAGAGUAACGGAGGAGCACGAAGGUUGGCUAAUCCUGGUCGGACAUCAGGAGGUUAGUGCAAUGGCAUAAGCCAGCUUGACUGCGAGCGUGACGGCGCGAGCAGGUGCGAAAGCAGGUCAUAGUGAUCCGGUGGUUCUGAAUGGAAGGGCCAUCGCUCAACGGAUAAAAGGUACUCCGGGGAUAACAGGCUGAUACCGCCCAAGAGUUCAUAUCGACGGCGGUGUUUGGCACCUCGAUGUCGGCUCAUCACAUCCUGGGGCUGAAGUAGGUCCCAAGGGUAUGGCUGUUCGCCAUUUAAAGUGGUACGCGAGCUGGGUUUAGAACGUCGUGAGACAGUUCGGUCCCUAUCUGCCGUGGGCGCUGGAGAACUGAGGGGGGCUGCUCCUAGUACGAGAGGACCGGAGUGGACGCAUCACUGGUGUUCGGGUUGUCAUGCCAAUGGCACUGCCCGGUAGCUAAAUGCGGAAGAGAUAAGUGCUGAAAGCAUCUAAGCACGAAACUUGCCCCGAGAUGAGUUCUCCCUGACCCUUUAAGGGUCCUGAAGGAACGUUGAAGACGACGACGUUGAUAGGCCGGGUGUGUAAGCGCAGCGAUGCGUUGAGCUAACCGGUACUAAUGAACCGUGAGGCUUAACCUUACAACGCCGAAGGUGUUU